CUGGUUUACCUGAAAUCUUGGGCAGCAGGAGUUUCUGUUGUGGAGCCGCUUGCACUGCCAUCAUCACUGUCACCUCGCUGGAGGCCGGCGGGGGACGAACGUAGCCGAUCCGGACGAAAAGGUGGAAGUGCAGAGGAGGAAGGCCCAGGGCCACGUCAAAAUGGCCGCCGCCCUCCCCCCUCCGUCGUCCUCC
Ornithorhynchus anatinus (platypus) is the source of this 193-nucleotide long non-coding RNA. RefSeq lists it as uncharacterized. Lineage: Eukaryota; Metazoa; Chordata; Mammalia; Monotremata; Ornithorhynchidae. The record is from RefSeq and is a predicted model, not a curated record. The transcript is spliced from 3 exons.